GAUGAACGCUGGCGGCGUGCCUAAUACAUGCAAGUCGAGCGAACGGACGAGAAGCUUGCUUUUCUGAUGUUAGCGGCGGACGGGUGAGUAACACGUGGAUAACCUACCUAUAAGACUGGGAUAACUUCGGGAAACCGGAGCUAAUACCGGAUAAUAUUUUGAACCGCAUGGUUCAAAAGUGAAAGACGGUCUUGCUAUCACUUAUAGAUGGAUCCGCGCUGCAUUAGCUAGUUGGUAAGGUAACGGCUUACCAAGGCAACGAUGCAUAGCCGACCUGAGAGGGUGAUCGGCCACACUGGAACUGAGACACGGUCCAGACUCCUACGGGAGGCAGCAGUAGGGAAUCUUCGGCAAUGGGCGAAAGCCUGACGGAGCAACGCCGCGUGAGUGAUGAAGGUCUUCGGAUCGUAAAACUCUGUUAUUAGGGAAGAACAUAUGUGUAAGUAACUGUGCACAUCUUGACGGUACCUAAUCAGAAAGCCACGGCUAACUACGUG
RNAcentral lists this ribosomal RNA (497 nucleotides) under uncultured bacterium. RNAcentral describes it as "partial 16S ribosomal RNA". It matches the Rfam family "Bacterial small subunit ribosomal RNA", at positions 28 to 507 of the family's 1533-position model. The record is from RNAcentral.